Molecule: long non-coding RNA, 1411 nt
Filed under: Nannospalax galili (Upper Galilee mountains blind mole rat)
Lineage: Eukaryota; Metazoa; Chordata; Mammalia; Rodentia; Spalacidae
Description: lncRNA (ENSNGAG00000024453.1)
Source: RNAcentral
GUCUUUUUCGAGAUAGGAUCUUCCUGUAGCCCCAGCUGGACUGGAACUCACUAUGUAAACCAGGCUGGCCUUGAAGUCACAGAGAUCUGCCUGCCUCUGCCUCCCUUAUGCUGGGAUUAAAGGCAUGCGCCACCACACCCAGCAUGCAAGGGUGUUUUAAACUCCUAGUUUGGAGACAAAGGACUGUCUUCUAGUGCUUCUGUAGCUGUGAGAGCUUCUGGCCAUCUUUGAAGGAGAAACACAGUCUUGUCUGGACCUUCUUCUACCCUUUCUUCUUAUAGGGAACCAUCCCCAUCCUCCUCAAGCUUGACCCUGAUGUCAAGACCUGACCAGGUGUCACAGGUGUCUGGUGAGCAGCUGAGAGGCAGUGAUUCCAAUCCCCCUGGAGCACCCUCUCUUGGAAACCCCAGCCCCCAGCAGGCAGCCCCUGUGCUCUUGCCACGCCGCCGUAACAACCUGGACAGCAGCUGGAUCCCCAAGAGAGUGACUAUAACCCGCCCUUUAGCUGGACUCCAGAAAGCCCAGUCUGUGCACAGUUUAGUGCCACAAAAUGAGGUGCCUUCAUCAGGUUCACUGCUCUCCCGGGAGAUGGAGGUCCAGGGUAGCCUGGGCUCCUUGCCACGGGCUGAUGGUUACCCAUCUCAGCCCCAUUCCUACCAGAACCCCAACACCAGUUCUAUGGCCAAGCUAGCCCGCAGCAUCUCUGUUGGGGAGAACCCGGGCCUGGUGGCUGAACCUGCUGUGCCCAUCCGAAUCUCACCAGUCAGCAAGCUAGCUCUGCCCAGCCGUGCUCACCUUGUUCUGGACAUCCCCAAACCACUGCCUGAUCGUCCUACUCUGACCACUUUCUCCCCUAUAACCAAGGGCCGGGUCCCAAAUGAAGCAGAGCAGCCUGGCUCCCCAAUGGGUCUACAAAAAGCUCAUACUACAUUUGAGAGGCAGGCCUGUUUGGGGGAGGGUUCCACUCCUAAGCGUAGGACAGAGUGCCAAGCUCAUUCUGGGCCCAACAGCCCUUGUGCCCAGCAACUGCCAGUCAGCAGCCUCCUCCAAGGCCCUGAGAACUUUCAGCCCCCAUCCCCCAAGAAGACUCCCAACCCCAUGGAAUGCACCAGGCCAGGGGCAGCCCUGAGCCAGGACUCAGGUGUGCACAGCUCCCCAGUCUCAUCUCUUUCCCCUAUCCUUUCUUUCCUGUAUUUGUUAACCGCUUUCUGGCUCCAUCCCAUUUCUAUGCAUCCAGCCUUUGCUGUCCUGUCUGCUCCUGUCUCGAUCCAUAAGUCACACUCCUAAUGUUGAGACAUUCCUGCCAACCCUCAUGAUCUCCCUGUGACUCACUUAACCCUUCAGUGCAUUCUGGACACUGAGACCAGGGCUGCCUUUCUCCUCUAAAUCUUGUCUGUGUGGUAUUGAGAAU